Molecule: long non-coding RNA, 1266 nt
Filed under: Marmota monax (woodchuck)
Lineage: Eukaryota; Metazoa; Chordata; Mammalia; Rodentia; Sciuridae
Source: RNAcentral
AGGAAUUCUAUUUAUUUCAAACAUUGUUGUGGAUCCUUUCUUUUCCAUCCACACUCACCUUCCUAAACGUGAGGUAAUCCAUUACAAUCUGUAUCCUUCCCUUCCCAUGGUAGCUGUUCACUACCCAGUUUGCACCCUACAGACCAAGGGGUUGGGGGGUGACUUUCCAAGUGGUAAGAACCAAAUGAGCCUUUUCAAUGAACUCAAGGGGUGAAAAUCCCAACUGCCUUGAGUCUUGUGUGAGAAGCCCCCAGGUGAGUGACCUUGGCAGAGGGGCCACAGCACUCUUCCCAAGCUCAGGUCAUGUCUCCCCAGCUGCCAGCACGUUCUGCCUCCAGUCUGCCUCCUUCCUCAUCCAUUUCUCCAAUCUUUCUCCACUUACCGCACCACUGGUGGUCUGGGGUGUGCAGCCCAGAUGUUUUCCCCAAGCAAUUAAGAGAUUACUUUUCAAGUGGCUUCACAGAGCAGAUGUUCCCAUUCGCCCGGUUGGCCCCCAAUUGCUAAAACCUUUCCCUGCCCCAGAGCACAUUGUGUUGCUGCUGUGUGUUUGAUCAGGAGAGUACAAGCAGGAACAAGAGAGUCCCACGCUGACGACCGACCGUUUGGCAGGCGAACUCCUGGGCCUAAGUGUGUUCCUCCUCCCUUUGUUCCCAUUACAGUUGUGAGCAGAUGUUCUCAACUAGACAACUGGCUGUUCUUUCUCUGGCCCCUGACACCAGUGCUGCUUCUCAUUCCCUGCUUUAUGCUAAUCGCAAUAUGCCCCAGACUCUAGUAUCUCUCUUUGCUGAGAAGCAUCCACCACAUUACUUCAUCCAGAGCUUUUUUGGCUUAGCCUGGGCAAUCUGUUAGAUAAGGGAGUGUGCUGCUAGAUCUACACUUCAGUUAAAGGUUGCUCACAAUCAUUUACCUGCUUGAAUCUAUUCUUUUACCUACCUUCUGCUCCCCUCCCCAUCCCACCUCCCAUUCCAGCUUCAGCCAAGCUCAAUUAUUGCAAUAUUGCAAUUCUAGUGAUAUUCUCUCUCACCUCCAAGUAAUUAUGCAUUCCUUUUCUUAUUUAUUUAUCUAUUAAUUUAUUUGUUGUACCAGGGAUUUAACCCAGGGGCACUUUACCACUGAGCCACACCCCCCUUUAUGUUUUUAUUUUUUAUUUUUGAGAUAAGUUCUCCCUAAAUUGCUUAGGGCCUCAUUAAAUUGUGGAGACUGGCCUGGAAAUUGUGAUCCUCUACUUCCACCUCCCAAAUAGCUGGGAUUAUGGGCGUGCACCAC